GGAACAAUCAUUGGACAGGACAUAGCUACCAAGCACAGGGUGUCGUGAAAACUGUAGUGAACAGUUUAUUUAAACUUUCGAAUUAUUCGUCUACUGUCCAUUACGUGUAAAGGAUCCUGAAUCUGGUGACCCGCCAAGGAGUGACAUGAGCGAACACACUUGGGUCAGUGGCUCUGUUGUAGAGUGUGUUUGGGGUGGCCAUCGCGAAGACCUGCGGAGCAGCGGAUGACAUCAACACGGUUGUUGCCGGGACCAUGGCAGGCAUGCUGUACAAGUCCACAGGUGAUUACAUGGGGCAGCGUGAGGGGGGCCUGGCGGGCAGGUCUCUAUGGUCUGUACAACAACUGGGACCAAACUGGAGCAUGGACCAGUCAAAACAUUUCCUCAAAAUGUAUCUUUAUUCAUUUGUAGACAUACUUCAGAAAGUAUUCAUACCCCUUGACUUUUUCCACAUUUUGUUACAGCCCGAAUUCCAAAUAUAUUAAGUGUUUUUUUUCUUCUCACAUAUCUACACACAAUACCCCAUAAUGACAAAG
Molecule: long non-coding RNA, 536 nt
Organism: Oncorhynchus gorbuscha (pink salmon)
Lineage: Eukaryota; Metazoa; Chordata; Actinopteri; Salmoniformes; Salmonidae
Exons: 4
Source: RefSeq, a predicted model, not a curated record